GGACACAGGUGGUGCAUGGUUGUCGUCAGCUCGUGUCGUGAGAUGUUGGGUUAAGUCCCGCAACGAGCGCAACCCUUGUCUUUAGUUGCCAUCAUUAAGUUGGGCACUCUAAAGAGACUGCCGAUGACAAAUCGGAGGAAGGUGGGGAUGACGUCAAAUCAUCAUGCCCUUUAUGUCCUGGGCUACACGCGUGCUACAAUGGUCGGUACAACGAGAAGCAAGUCAGCGAUGGCAAGCAAAUCUCUAAAAGCCGAUCCCAGUUCGGAUUGCAGGCUGCAACUCGCCUGCAUGAAGUCGGAGUUGCUAGUAAUCGCGGAUCAGAAUGCCGCGGUGAAUGCGUUCCCGGGUCUU
RNAcentral lists this ribosomal RNA (351 nucleotides) under uncultured Eubacteriales bacterium. Its description in RNAcentral is "bacterial SSU rRNA". It matches the Rfam family "Bacterial small subunit ribosomal RNA", at positions 1030 to 1382 of the family's 1533-position model. The record is from RNAcentral. Lineage: Bacteria; Bacillati; Bacillota; Clostridia; Eubacteriales.